This 1223-nucleotide long non-coding RNA is filed under the name Panax ginseng (ginseng). RNAcentral's name for it is "long non-coding RNA (PGIN_LNC013205)". Lineage: Eukaryota; Viridiplantae; Streptophyta; Magnoliopsida; Apiales; Araliaceae. The record is from RNAcentral.
UCAUAUUGGAUCUACCCCCAUUCCUAGGUACUAAAUUAGCACGAAUGAGUUUGUGAAUAACAUUGUUCAGAGGAGUAGUUUCAACAACAGUUGGUAACCCAAUAAAUUCAGUAGAAGAACAUUCUUUCACAAUCCUUAAUUGUUCAAGGACAGUUAGAUUUUCAAACUCUAAAGGUCCCUUGAGUGUGAAAGGAUAAAAACCAGAGCAAGGGAUAUUAAGAAUAGAGCCCAAUAUAGCAGAAUUGUGUUACUAGCUUAUUACAUUUUCAAGCUCUCCCUGUACUUGAAUUAUCAAAACAGUCUUGUCCCAUAUCUUAUGUCUUAAUAAAUAAGUUUAGAAUGAAUAUUUUGCAGCACGGCGCGGUCGCGCUGCCUUUUAGCCUAAAAGUUAGGACUGAGCAAAAAACGGAUAAAUCGAAUAACCGAAUUUUUUUAACCGAAAUAUUUCGUUUAUUCGAUUAUUUUCAUUAAUUCGGUUAUAACCAUUUUAAUAAUCCGAUAUUCGGGUAUCCAUACGGAUAUUGAAAUAAUGUUAUUCGGGUAACCGAAUAAUCGAAUAGAUUUUUAAAAUGAUAAUAAUAAAUAAAGCCCUACUCUUUGACUCUUAAGAGUUAACUUUAUUCUCGUCGUCACAGACUCACAGUCACAACUCUGCCGACUCUCCUCCUCCUCCAUAGCCAGUCAGCCAGCCCCACUCUGGCUUCGCAAAGCGCAGCUCUUCCGGUCUCCCCCAGUGACUGUUACUGGUAUCAUCGAUCUGGGCUGCAUCGGGAUAUGACAUCAUCAUCACUACGCAAGUGAUGAUUAAUAAAAAGAUGAGUGUGAUUAAGAGCUUGGGUAGAUGUAGAAGCGCCAUGACCACGAAAUUAACCCAAAGCAAAGUAAUCCAGCUAGGAGAUCAAGGAAGAAAAGAUAGAUAGUGAGGGUAAGAGAAUUGGGGAUGGGGUUUUUGAUUAGAGCAAUACAACAUCCAUCUGUUUGAGAAAGAAGAUAAGCUAGGGAACUGUACAGCUCUAUAAUUUAACUUACUAGGAGGGGAGAGAACUUAAUUUCGGUUAUUAACCAAAAUAACCUAAUAUAAAAUGCGGUUAUUCGGUAUUCGGUUAUUCGGUUAUUUCUCUAUUCGAUUAAUUAUUCGGAUAGUAAAAUUUAGAAUAUUUCGGUAUUCGGUUAUAUCCGAAUAAGCUAUUCGAUUUAGAUAUAACCGAAUUGCUCACCCCUAC